RNAcentral lists this ribosomal RNA (120 nucleotides) under Pteropus alecto (black flying fox). Lineage: Eukaryota; Metazoa; Chordata; Mammalia; Chiroptera; Pteropodidae. The record is from RNAcentral.
AUGUGUAGGCCGUGCUACUCUGAACAAGCCCGAUCUCAUCUGGUCUUGGAAGCUAAGCAGGGUUGGUCCUGGUUAGUACUUGGAUGGGAGACCACCUAGGAAGACCAGGUGCUGUAAGUG